RNAcentral lists this long non-coding RNA (780 nucleotides) under Homo sapiens (human). RNAcentral describes it as "HSALNT0023345". The record is from RNAcentral. Lineage: Eukaryota; Metazoa; Chordata; Mammalia; Primates; Hominidae.
GAGUGUCGCCACCUCCAGGGAGCAGCCAGGCCUGGAUACCCACCCCAGGCCCUGGCUCUGCCACUGAUCACAACCCCCCACCAGGGCUGGCCUCUCCUCAAACCUGGGCACAGCCUAGUGCCAAGCCCUUGCUGAGGACCCCUGCUGCAUCCCACUGCCAGGGCACCCUCCUCUCCACCCUCCUCACUCCAAGGCAGUCAGCAGGACCCCUGAGCCAGCCUCGGGGCUGGAGGGCUUCGGGUUUUACGCUAAUGGUGCUGGGAUCGUCCGGCCAGAGACAAUGAAGUUGACCCCUGAUGCUGAGAUCCUGAGCCCCACGGGGUCACCACAUCCCCACGUCUGCCAUGACAACAGUCCCAGCUGCCCAGGGCUGGGGAAGGCCUGCCUGGCACCCCGCAUACCAGGAAGGAGCAUGAUUGGCUGUUCUGGCCAUGCCAUGUGCCCCGUCCUGAGGCUCCUGCCAGGCUGACAGGAAACAGCCCAGAGCUGAGGUCUUUGAGCCGGUCAUUCCAACAUUGCAAGCACCACCCAGUCCUCCUGGCUGAAGUUGAGUGAGAACGCCGGAUGCGGGUGCAGAAAGACUGCGUCCAGGGAGCACUGCCCACAGGCCGAGCCGGGGCCUCCCGCAAGAGGAAGGAGGUGCCCUCAAGGCUACGGACCUGGGGUCCCGGUGGUGACGCCCCACGGGGCUCAGGCCUAAAGAGGCCGAGAGGGCCUCGGGGACCCAGUGCAUGCCCCACGCUGAGCAGCACAGGCUGCCCCACCGUGGGCUCCCCGAUC